Molecule: ribosomal RNA, 1416 nt
Filed under: Triticum aestivum (bread wheat)
Lineage: Eukaryota; Viridiplantae; Streptophyta; Magnoliopsida; Poales; Poaceae
Description: partial small subunit ribosomal RNA
Source: RNAcentral
AUGCGUCAAGUACAAGAGCUUCUCGACAAAGGAGGCAUUAAUAAUAUUACUAUUCGUUAUCGUCAUCCUAUUCCUAGGCUAGAUGAUAUGCUUGAUGAAUUGAGUGGCUCUACAAUAUUCUCCAAAGUUGAUUUGCGUAGUGGCUACCAUCAAAUUCGUAUGAAAUUGGGAGAUGAAUGGAAAACAACAUUUAAAACUAAGUUUGGAUUAUAUGAGUGGUUAGUCAUGCCUUUUGGGUUAACUAAUGCACCUAGUACUUUCAUGAGAUUAAUGAACGAAGUUUUACGUGCUUUCAUUGGACGAUUUGUGGUAGUUUACUUUGAUGACAUAUUGAUUUAUAGCAGAUCUUUGGAAGAACAUUUGGAACAUUUACGUGCUGUUUUUAUUGCUCUACGUGAUGCACGUUUGUUUGGUAACCUUGGGAAGUGCACCUUUUGCACCGACCGAGUAUCUUUUCUUGGCUACGUUGUUACUCCACAGGGAAUUGAAGUUGAUAAAGCCAAGAUUGAAGCUAUUGAGAGUUGGCCGCAGCCCAAAACGGUCACACACGUGAGGAGUUUUCUUGGCCUCGCUGGAUUCUAUAGGCGUUUUGUUAGAGAUUUCAGCACCAUUGCUGCACCUCUCAAUGAGCUUACAAAGAAAGAUGUGCCUUUUCUUUGGGGUACCGCACAGGAAGAAGCCUUCUCGGUAUUGAAAGAUAAGUUGACACAUGCUCCUUUACUCCAACUUCCUGAUUUUAAUAAGACUUUUGAGCUUGAAUGUGAUGCUAGUGGAAUUGGAUUAGGCGGUGUGUUAUUACAAGAUGGCAAACCUGUUGCAUAUUUUUCUGAAAAAUUGAGUGGGCCUAGUCUGAAUUAUUCUACUUAUGAUAAAGAAUUAUAUGCUCUUGUUCGGACUUUAGAAACAUGGCAACAUUAUUUAUGGCCCAAAGAAUUUGUUAUACAUUCUGAUCAUGAAUCUUUGAAACAUAUUAAAAGUCAAGCUAAAUUGAAUCGUAGACAUGCUAAAUGGGUUGAAUUCAUUGAGACUUUUCCUUAUGUCAUUAAACACAAGAAGGGAAAAGAAAAUGUUAUUGCUGAUGCAUUGUCACGCCGCUAUACUAUGCUUUCACAACUUGACUUCAAAAUAUUUGGUUUGGAGACCAUCAAAGAUCAAUAUGUGCAUGAUGCUGAUUUUAAAGAUGUAAUGCAGAAUUGUAAAGAAGGAAGAAUGUGGAACAAGUUCGUCGUUAACAAUGGAUUUGUGUUUCGUGCUAACAAGCUAUGCAUUCCAGCUAGCUCCGUUCGUCUUUUGUUGUUGCAGGAGGCGCAUGGAGGAGGAUUAAUGGGACACUUUGGCGUGAAGAAGACGGAGGACAUACUUGCUACACAUUUCUUUUGGCCAAAGAUGAGACGGGAUGUUGAGCGGCUGUUUUGA